CCUCUCGACAGAGCCUUACCCCGAUCCUAUAUCAGCUCUGCCGGGCAUGACCCGGCUAUGGCAGUAAACGGCGCGUCCGUUGGCGGGGCGGACCCGGGGGCAGUACCCGGCGCCUCCACCAGGACGGCAUCCUGGGACGCUUCGGGUGUCGUGCUGAUGGGGGCGAAACAGGAUCGACGCACGCUUCAACGACGCGACCUUCUGCCCGGCAUGGUACCGCCGUUACAGGGCCAAACCGAUAAAUGCCAACGAUAACGACGUGGCAUUGGCGGUUGCUGCCUGAUCUCACGGCCUAGCGGCCCAAGAUCGGCGGCAUGCGCCACGGUCUCGCGGAACGCACCGGGUAACAGAAGCGUUCCCCC
RNAcentral lists this transfer-messenger RNA (362 nucleotides) under Alphaproteobacteria bacterium. It matches the Rfam family "Alphaproteobacteria transfer-messenger RNA". Rfam says of the family: Bacterial tmRNA, also known as 10Sa RNA or SsrA, is named for its dual tRNA and mRNA-like properties. Lineage: Bacteria; Pseudomonadati; Pseudomonadota; Alphaproteobacteria. The record is from RNAcentral.